Transfer RNA from Baudoinia panamericana, 91 nucleotides. It matches the Rfam family "tRNA". From Rfam's summary of the family: Transfer RNA (tRNA) molecules are approximately 80 nucleotides in length. Their secondary structure includes four short double-helical elements and three loops (D, anti-codon, and T loops). Further hydrogen bonds mediate the characteristic L-shaped molecular structure. tRNAs have two regions of fundamental functional importance: the anti-codon, which is responsible for specific mRNA codon recognition, and the 3' end, to which the tRNAs corresponding amino acid is attached (by aminoacyl-tRNA synthetases). tRNAs cope with the degeneracy of the genetic code in two manners: having more than one tRNA (with a specific anti-codon) for a particular amino acid; and 'wobble' base-pairing, i.e. permitting non-standard base-pairing at the 3rd anti-codon position. Lineage: Eukaryota; Fungi; Ascomycota; Dothideomycetes; Mycosphaerellales; Teratosphaeriaceae. The record is from Rfam.
GGUCGCUUAGCUCAGUUGGUUAGAGCGUGGUGCUAAUACCUGUUGUAUAUCUCAAACGCCAAGGUCGCGAGUUCGACCCUCGUAGUGACCA